This 371-nucleotide long non-coding RNA is filed under the name Olea europaea (common olive). RNAcentral's name for it is "long non-coding RNA (OEUR_LNC014433)". Lineage: Eukaryota; Viridiplantae; Streptophyta; Magnoliopsida; Lamiales; Oleaceae. The record is from RNAcentral.
UAAAGAGGGCCCAAAAUUCUUAUCAAUACAGUUACCAUCAAACGCUUAUUCAAAUUCUCAUCAGAAAGUCACCCACUUCCUCCAAUGAGUAACGCCAAAACUUGAUAUUUCCAUUUCUUUGAAAUUUUUUUAAUGAAAUUUUCCUCUGAUAAGACAAAAACUGAAAGGAAUCCAGUUUUCUUUUAGUGCUGAAAGUCUCUAUCAUUAAGCCAAGAAAUCUUCUGAAAACUUCAAGUUCCAUGUUCUUCCUUUGAAGAUGGUGCAAAGAAAGGUGAUCAACAAGCUUGGAAUCCAAUUCCAAGCUGAUGGUGAUCAAUUGCAGCAACAGGAUGGGAAGAAUCGAGGAAAAGAUUUGAAGAAGAAAAUGNNNN